AGAGUUUGAUCCUGGCUCAGGACGAACGCUGGCGGCGCGCCUAACACAUGCAAGUCGAACGGAGCUUAGAGAGCUUGCUUUUUAAGCUUAGUGGCGAACGGGUGAGUAACGCGUGAGUAACCUGCCCUAGAGUGGGGGACAACAGUUGGAAACGACUGCUAAUACCGCAUAAGCCCACGGUACCGCAUGGUACUGAGGGAAAAGGAUUUAUUCGCUCUAGGAUGGACUCGCGUCCAAUUAGCUAGUUGGUGAGGUAACGGCCCACCAAGGCGACGAUUGGUAGCCGGACUGAGAGGUUGAACGGCCACAUUGGGACUGAGACACGGCCCAGACUCCUACGGGAGGCAGCAGUGGGGGAUAUUGCACAAUGGGGGAAACCCUGAUGCAGCGACGCCGCGUGGAGGAAGAAGGUUUUCGGAUUGUAAACUCCUGUCGUUAGGGACGAUAAUGACGGUACCUAACAAGAAAGCACCGGCUAACUACGUGCCAGCAGCCGCGGUAAAACGUAGGGUGCAAGCGUUGUCCGGAAUUACUGGGUGUAAAGGGAGCGCAGGCGGACCGGCAAGUUGGAAGUGAAAACUAUGGGCUCAACCCAUAAAUUGCUUUCAAAACUGCUGGCCUUGAGUAGUGCAGAGGUAGGUGGAAUUCCCGGUGUAGCGGUGGAAUGCGUAGAUAUCGGGAGGAACACCAGUGGCGAAGGCGGCCUACUGGGCACCAACUGACGCUGAGGCUCGAAAGUGUGGGUAGCAAACAGGAUUAGAUACCCUGGUAGUCCACACUGUAAACGAUGAUUACUAGGUGUUGGAGGAUUGACCCCUUCAGUGCCGCAGUUAACACAAUAAGUAAUCCACCUGGGGAGUACGACCGCAAGGUUGAAACUCAAAGGAAUUGACGGGGGCCCGCACAAGCAGUGGAGUAUGUGGUUUAAUUCGACGCAACGCGAAGAACCUUACCAAGUCUUGACAUCCUGCGACGGUGCUGGAAACAGUACUUUCCUUCGGGACGCAGAGACAGGUGGUGCAUGGUUGUCGUCAGCUCGUGUCGUGAGAUGUUGGGUUAAGUCCCGCAACGAGCGCAACCCUUAUGGUCAGUUACUACGCAAGAGGACUCUGGCCAGAUUGCCGUUGACAAAACGGAGGAAGGUGGGGAUGACGUCAAAUCAUCAUGCCCUUUAUGACUUGGGCUACACACGUACUACAAUGGCGUUAAACAAAGAGAAGCAAGACCGCGAGGCGGAGCAAAACUCAGAAACAACGUCCCAGUUCGGACUGCAGGCUGCAACUCGCCUGCACGAAGUCGGAAUUGCUAGUAAUCGCAGAUCAGCAUGCUGCGGUGAAUACGUUCCCGGGCCUUGCACUCACCGCCCGUCA
Molecule: ribosomal RNA, 1370 nt
Filed under: uncultured bacterium
Lineage: Bacteria
Description: bacterial SSU rRNA
Rfam family: Bacterial small subunit ribosomal RNA
Source: RNAcentral